Molecule: transfer RNA, 65 nt
Filed under: Tachinus subterraneus
Lineage: Eukaryota; Metazoa; Arthropoda; Insecta; Coleoptera; Staphylinidae
Description: tRNA-Tyr
Rfam family: tRNA
About the family: Transfer RNA (tRNA) molecules are approximately 80 nucleotides in length.
Source: RNAcentral
GGUGAAAUGGCUGAAAAUAGGCAAUAAACUGUAAAUUUAUUUAUGAAUUUAAAAUUCUUUUACCA